Molecule: ribosomal RNA, 1287 nt
Filed under: metagenome
Description: bacterial SSU rRNA
Rfam family: Bacterial small subunit ribosomal RNA
Source: RNAcentral
UAGCUAGUUGGUGAGGUAAAGGCUUACCAAGGCGACGAUCUGUAGCGGGUCUGAGAGGAUGAUCCGCCACACUGGAACUGAGACACGGUCCAGACUCCUACGGGAGGCAGCAGUGGGGAAUUUUGGACAAUGGGGGCAACCCUGAUCCAGCCAUGCCGCGUGAGUGAAGAAGGCCUUCGGGUUGUAAAGCUCUUUCGGCCGGGAAGAAAUCGCAUGGGCCAAUACCCUGUGUGGAUGACGGUACCGGAAUAAGAAGCACCGGCUAACUACGUGCCAGCAGCCGCGGUAAUACGUAGGGUGCGAGCGUUAAUCGGAAUUACUGGGCGUAAAGCGUGCGCAGGCGGUUUUGUAAGACAGGCGUGAAAUCCCCGGGCUUAACCUGGGAACUGCGUUUGUGACUGCAAGGCUAGAGUACGGCAGAGGGGGGUGGAAUUCCACGUGUAGCAGUGAAGUGCGUAGAGAUGUGGAGGAACACCAAUGGCGAAGGCAGCCCCCUGGGUCGAUACUGACGCUCAUGCACGAAAGCGUGGGUAGCAAACAGGAUUAGAUACCCUGGUAGUCCACGCCCUAAACUAUGUCAACUAGGUGUUGGGUGGGUAAAACCAUUUAGUACCGUAGCUAACGCGUGAAGUUGACCGCCUGGGGAGUACGGCCGCAAGGUUAAAACUCAAAGGAAUUGACGGGGACCCGCACAAGCGGUGGAUGAUGUGGAUUAAUUCGAUGCAACGCGAAAAACCUUACCUACCCUUGACAUGCCAGGAACUUGCCAGAGAUGGCUUGGUGCCCGAAAGGGAGCCUGGACACAGGUGCUGCAUGGCUGUCGUCAGCUCGUGUCGUGAGAUGUUGUGUUAAGUCCCGCAACGAGCGCAACCCUUGUCGUUAAUUGCCAUCAUUUAGUUGGGCACUUUAACGAGACUGCCGGUGACAAACCGGAGGAAGGUGGGGAUGACGUCAAGUCCUCAUGGCCCUUAUGGGUAGGGCUUCACACGUCAUACAAUGGUCGGUACAAAGGGUUGCCAAGCCGCGAGGCGGAGCCAAUCCCAGAAAGCCGAUCGUAGUCCGGAUUGCAGGCUGCAACUCGCCUGCAUGAAGUCGGAAUCGCUAGUAAUCGUGGAUCAGCAUGUCACGGUGAAUACGUUCCCGGGUCUUGUACACACCGCCCGUCACACCAUGGGAGCGGGUUCCGCCAGAAGUAGGUAGCCUAACCGCAAGGGGGGCGCUUACCACGGCGGGGUUCGUGACUGGGGUGAAGUCGGAACAAGGUAGCCGUAGGGGAACCUGCGGCUG